AGAGGAGACUCCCACGCCCCUUUUCUUUCCUCAGCUUUGCUUGAGCUUAAAAGGUUGUACUAGAAUGCAAGUCUUCCAAUUCUGGAGUUUUCCUCCAUCAUUUUGUACUCGACCCGAAAGAACGGAUGUGUUAUUACCACCACCAUCGACCUUGGUCAAACUCUUCAACCGAGCUCCCUGGUGCAGAAGAACUCUGAAUGCACAGAGGGACUCACAGGUGCCCACUGCUCUCUGAGGGGCCUGGGACGGCUCAGGACCUAAGGCUCUAGGUCCAUCCACCUCACUACAGAUAACUUGAUUUCGGAAAACCCUGUUUCAAGAUGUGAGCACCAACGGAAACUUCAGAAGGUCAACUUCAUAGCAAGUUCAAUUAUAAAAUAACUCAGAGUAACUUCAACUUACUUUAUAUUUGAUCUCCUAGUAAAAAUUAAUGUCUCUUCCCCACGAUCUGCUUAACAUGGAGAGUAGAGAGCGUGGGCCUAACGCUAGAGCUGCCUGCCCACCUCACCACCUUGAGAAAUGGCGCAGCUCAAAGUCUUCUGUCCUCAUGGCGCCUCUUUACUGGCAGCGAAUUCUGCAAUAAAGCCUCAAGAUUAAUAUUCUGAUUUCUGCUGCAACAGCCAGUCACCAAGAAGCUUUAAAAGCCUUAGUGGCUGACUUUGAAAUACAACAAGAAAUUGCUAAUGCUUGGGAACAAAAUCUACCUCCAUUUCAGGAGACGGUUUUGCAAUUAUUCUUAUUGUUGAUUUGAAUGUAUUGGGAAUUUUUAACUUGGAGAAAGUAAAAACAAACGGUUAACCUCA
Molecule: long non-coding RNA, 803 nt
Organism: Lagenorhynchus albirostris (white-beaked dolphin)
Lineage: Eukaryota; Metazoa; Chordata; Mammalia; Artiodactyla; Delphinidae
Exons: 2
Source: RefSeq, a predicted model, not a curated record